This is an RNA transcript of Nicotiana attenuata, 2309 nucleotides long. RefSeq lists it as uncharacterized. The transcript is spliced from 6 exons. NCBI's taxonomy places the organism in Eukaryota, Viridiplantae, Streptophyta, Magnoliopsida, Solanales, Solanaceae. The record is from RefSeq and is a predicted model, not a curated record.
CGGAUAAUCGUCUUAUGUCCUCUAUUCCUCCUAAUCAGUACUCUAAGACGAUACAAUGUGUAUUAAAUGCAAAACAUGUAGUGGAUUGGAUUCAAAAAAUUGUAGUGGGUGUUGAACACUUGGUGUUGGAAGAAAGUCUGGCAAAGCAAAUAAUUGAUUUGUUGGCUAGAGAAAGUUUCCAGCAUGUGAAGAGGUUAGAAAUCAACAGCUGUCAUGAAGUUAUAUAUAUUGCAAAUACAUCGGGUUUGAUCAAUCUCAGGAAAACUCCAGGCCGAUAUGAUUGUUUUGCUAACCUUGAAUACAAUAAAAUUCGUAGUUGUACGGAUAUUGUUUAUUUCCUCUCGAUGCCAUCAGUGCCGGAGGCUUUGCCACUUCUUACAAUUCUAGAAAUGUGGGGCUGUAAGAAGUUGGAACAAGUGUUCCUCCUAGGGGAAGAAAAUCUGGGUGGUGGACGUGGAAUCCAGAUUGAUAAGGUCAAGUUCCCCAGAUUGGAGAAAAUAGAGCUUUACAAUUUAGAAGCACUAAAUUGUUUCUGCAAUGAGAUUCACGGCAUCCAGCUCCCUAGCUUACAUACCCUGACUAUCAGCAAAUUACCUAACAUCAGAGGAUUCUUUCCCAAUGAUGACAGCCUUUCAACAGAACCCAACCAUAGUGCGAACAAGCAAUCCCUUUUCAGAAAAGAGGACACAUUGAGAAGUUUAAGGCAUCUGGAACUCUACGAUUUGGAUGACGCAAUGCUCUUUCACAACCAAUUACUUUCCCGAUGCUGCUUCAGAAAACUUGACUCUUUAAGUAUGUCGAAAUGCAAGAAUGUGGCUCCUUGUUUGUUUAUGGAUGUUGUGAAUGAUGAUGCUCCAAGUGCAAAGGAUGAAGAAGAACAAGGAGAAAAGGUUUCUGAAACCUCCCUAUUUCCUCAUUUGACAAGUCUAAUUCUCUCAGACCUGCCAGAUUUAAGGUCUGUUGUUUCACAAAAUAUGCAAAAGGUUCCAUUUGGUUAUAACUUGAAAGCAGUAUAUGUAGGCUUCUGCAAGAGACUACUUCAUUUCUCUUCACUAGCUGUGGCCAGGACUUUUGCACAGCAAGUUGAAAAUAUGUCAUUUGUUGUUUGUAAUGAGAUGAAACACGUAUUUGUUUUAGAGGAGAAUGAGGUGGAAGGAGCUGAUCAAAGUCAGAUCUGUGACAUCCAGUUUCCGAUGUUGCGGAAGUUGAAACUUAGCUAUUUACCGGCAAUGGUAAGUUUUUGCAAGGGGGCUAACAACAUUGACUUCCCAAAUUUGAAUGAAAUAUACAUUAGUGCCUCGAACAACUUAAAAGGUUUUGUGAUUCCCACAGAUGGAGAUCAAUCCAGUGACAUGCAUUACCUAUUUGGAAGUAAGGUUUCAUUUGGAGGGUUGGAGAGUAUGGUACUCCUGAAUUUAGAGAGUAAGUUAUGGUACCACCAACUUUCAAACACACAAUACUUCAGUGAACUACAAAAUUUAUUUAUUCAAGGCUGCCACGAGAUCAAAUACGUGUUUUCUUCUUUUUCAAUCGGGGCCUUGGUGAAUUUGAAGAAGCUAAAGAUACGUUGUUGCUUCAGUAUUGAAGCCGUAAUUGUAGAAGAUGAAGGAGGAGAAGGAAUGAGCAUGAAACAUCUCUUUCCUAAAUUGGAAGUUUUAGAACUACAAGAGUUACCAAAGUUGGGAAGCUUUAGCCAAAGAAAACAUGAUCUACAAUUGCUCUCACUGAAAACUGUGACGAUCAACUAUUGUAGUGAAAUGCAGAUAUUUGCUCAAGGAUACAUAAGCACACCAAGAUUAGAUGAACUUCAAAUAGAUGAUAAAUCCUUUCCCGUGAAUGACAUAAAUAACUCCAUAUGCCAAGGAUUUGAGGAACAGCGUGCAAAGAAAAUGAAAGAAGUAGCAGAACAAAUAGCAAAGGAAGAAGAGGAGUUGCAAGAAUUUGAUGAAGAACAUACAACUGAAGGAGAGGAGGACGAGGAAGACUGAUCAUGGUAAGGUCAAGAAUCCAAAAGUGCGGAGGAGGAAUACCUACAAGUAUAUAUUUCAUCAUCCGACGAAAUGUCAUAGUUGAUCCAACUGGAGUUGAAGCGAGUAAUAACUCUACGAUAGAAAAUUCUGACCAAAUCACCAUGAGUUUUGUACACUUGUCAUUAUCUUGAAAUGAAUUGAUGUUCCAAUCAAGUUUGGCCUUGCAUAUGAGUAAGCUUUGUAAAGAAUGUAGGGACAAACUUUUAUAUGAAUGGAUGGUACGUGUUUGAAGAAAUGCCAAUGAAUGUUUUAUCCAUACAUGAUGGAUUUCGAACUUAA